GAUGGACGCUGGCGGCGUGCUUAACACAUGCCAGUCGAACGGUGAAGGCGGAGCUUGCUCUGCUGGAUCAGUGGCGAACGGGUGAGUAACACGUGAGCAAUCUGCCCCUGACUCUGGGAUAAGCGCUGGAAACGGCGUCUAAUACUGGAUACGAGCUGCGAAGGCAUCUUCAGCAGCUGGAAAGAACUUCGGUCAGGGAUGAGCUCGCGGCCUAUCAGCUUGUUGGUGAGGUAACGGCUCACCAAGGCGUCGACGGGUAGCCGGCCUGAGAGGGUGACCGGCCACACUGGGACUGAGACACGGCCCAGACUCCUACGGGAGGCAGCAGUGGGGAAUAUUGCACAAUGGGCGAAAGCCUGAUGCAGCAACGCCGCGUGAGGGACGACGGCCUUCGGGUUGUAAACCUCUUUUAGCAGGGAAGAAGCGAAAGUGACGGUACCUGCAGAAAAAGCGCCGGCUAACUACGUG
RNAcentral lists this ribosomal RNA (468 nucleotides) under uncultured bacterium. Its description in RNAcentral is "partial 16S ribosomal RNA". It matches the Rfam family "Bacterial small subunit ribosomal RNA", at positions 28 to 507 of the family's 1533-position model. The record is from RNAcentral.